GGGGUAGAGCGUGGGGCAGGACACCGGGGCCUCUGAGGGUGGAAGAGGGUGUGUGUGUGUGGGCAGGGCAGAAACUCUGGAGCAGGGGGGAAGCCAGGGCCAGGGGCUCCUGAGGUAGUUUGGGUCAGAGUUUUGGCCUUGAGCCUCCUGGGUGAGGCUCCUGUUUCCUUCAUCCUCAAGGUCUGGGAGAACAGGGUGAGGUGCACAUUCCUGAAAAAGAAGAGAAUCAGGGCCUAAAUCUGUGGGUCGUAAAGGGAG
RNAcentral lists this long non-coding RNA (258 nucleotides) under Homo sapiens (human). RNAcentral describes it as "LHRI_LNC380.1". Lineage: Eukaryota; Metazoa; Chordata; Mammalia; Primates; Hominidae. The record is from RNAcentral.